GCAUAAUCACUUGUCCCUUAAAUCGGGACUGGAAUGAACGGCUAAAUGAGGACUAAACUGUCUCUUACAGGCCAGCCAAUGAAAUUGAUUUUCCAGUACAAAAGCUGGGAUACACCCACAAGACGAGAAGACCCUGUGGAGCUUACAAACCAAAUUCACCAAACAUGUCUAUCGGUUUUCAGUUGGGGCGACUUCGGAGUACAAAAUAACCUCCAAACAUAAAACUAAUUAAGAACAACACAUCAAAAUAUACUUAUAAUGACCCAGCAACCUUGUGGUUGUCUGACUAAUGAACCAAGUUACCCCAGGGAUAACAGCGCCAUCCCCUUCUAGAGUCCCUAUCGACAAGGGGGUUUACGACCUCGAUGUUGGAUCAGGACACCCCAAUGGUGCAGCCGCCAUUAACGGUUCGUUUGUUCAACGAUUAAAGUCCAACGUGAU
Molecule: ribosomal RNA, 441 nt
Filed under: Anatololacerta sp. CI-2014a
Lineage: Eukaryota; Metazoa; Chordata; Lepidosauria; Squamata; Lacertidae
Also listed under: 1 other name
Description: partial 16S ribosomal RNA
Rfam family: Archaeal large subunit ribosomal RNA
Source: RNAcentral